Molecule: ribosomal RNA, 397 nt
Filed under: uncultured bacterium
Lineage: Bacteria
Description: bacterial SSU rRNA
Rfam family: Bacterial small subunit ribosomal RNA
Source: RNAcentral
AUAACUCAGGGAUAGCCUUUCGAAAGAAAGAUUAAUACCUGAUAGUACUUUUUCAAGGCAUCUUAGAAAAAAGUUAAAGAUUUAUUGGUUAUGGAGUGGGGAUGCGUUCCAUUAGAUAGUUGGUGAGGUAACGGCUCACCAAGUCUUCGAUGGAUAGGGGUUCUGAGAGGAACGGUCCCCCACAUUGGUACUGAGACACGGACCAAACUCCUACGGGAGGCAGCAGUGAGGAAUAUUGGUCAAUGGGCGAGAGCCUGAACCAGCCAAGUAGCGUGGAAAAGGAUGGAGGUCCUAUGGAUUGUAAACUUUCUUUUAUAGUAGAAUAAAGUGAGCCACGUGUUGGUUUUUUGUAUGUAUACUAUGAAUAAGGAUCGGCUAACUCCGUGCCAGCCGCCGC